RNAcentral lists this transfer RNA (84 nucleotides) under SAR202 cluster bacterium. Its description in RNAcentral is "tRNA-Tyr". Lineage: Bacteria; Bacillati; Chloroflexota; Dehalococcoidia. The record is from RNAcentral.
GGGUCGGCCGAGAAUGGCGACUCAAACGGGCCGUAACCCCGUGCCCUUCGGGGCCUGUUGGUUCGACUCCAACCCGACCCACCA